RNAcentral lists this ribosomal RNA (442 nucleotides) under uncultured bacterium. Its description in RNAcentral is "bacterial SSU rRNA". It matches the Rfam family "Bacterial small subunit ribosomal RNA", at positions 338 to 795 of the family's 1533-position model. The record is from RNAcentral.
CCUACGGGGGGCUGCAGUAGGGAAUCUUUCACAAUGGGCGAAAGCCUGAUGGAGCAACGCCGCGUGCAGGACGAAGGCCUUCGGGUUGUAAACUGCUUUUAUAUCCGAGAAAUAUGAUGGUAAGAUAUGAAUAAGGACCGGCUAACUACGUGCCAGCAGCCGCGGUCAUACGUAGGGUCCAAGCAUUAUCCGGAGUGACUGGGUGUAAAGAGUUGCGUAGGUGGCAUAGUAAGUAGAUAGUGAAAUCUGGUGGCUCAACCAUUCAGACUGUUAUCUAAACUGCUAAGCUCGAGACCGUUAGGGGUAACUGGAAUUUCUAGUGUAGGAGUGAAAUCCGUAGAUAUUAGAAGGAACACCGAUAGCGUAGGCAGGUUACUGGGACGGUUCUGACACUAAGGCACGAAAGCGUAGGGAGCGAACGGGAUUAGAUACCCCUGUAGUC